UUAAGUGACUAAGCGUACAAGGUGGAUGCCUUGGCAAUCAGAGGCGACGAAGGACGUGCUAAUCUGCGAAAAGCUUGGAUGAGUCGAUAAGAGGCGUUUAAUCCAAGAUGUCCGAAUGGGGAAACCCAGUAGAUGAAGAAUCUACUAUCACUUACUGAAUCCAUAGGUAAGUGAGGCAAACCGGGAGAACUGAAACAUCUAAGUACCCCGAGGAAAAGAAAUCAACCGAGAUUUCGUUAGUAGCGGCGAGCGAACGCGAAGGAGCCUGUUAGUGAUAAUGACAGAGACAGAGGAACAAGCUGGGAAGCUUGGCGAUACAGGGUGAUAGCCCCGUACUCGAAGUCCAGGUCAUGGUACUAAGCUAACGACAAGUAGGGCGGGACACGUGAUAUCCUGUUUGAAGAUGGGGGGACCAUCCUCCAAGGCUAAAUACUCCUGAUUGACCGAUAGUGAACCAGUACUGUGAAGGAAAGGCGAAAAGAACCCCGGUGAGGGGAGUGAAAUAGAACCUGAAACCUUGUACGUACAAGCAGUGGGAGCCCUUUAAGGGUGACUGCGUACCUUUUGUAUAAUGGGUCAGCGACUUAUAUUUUGUAGCGAGGUUAACCGAAUAGGGGAGCCGAAGGGAAACCGAGUCUUAACUGGGCGUCUAGUUGCAAGGUAUAGACCCGAAACCCGGUGAUCUAGCCAUGGGCAGGUUGAAGGUUGGGUAACACUAACUGGAGGACCGAACCGACUAAUGUUGAAAAAUUAGCGGAUGACUUGUGGCUGGGGGUGAAAGGCCAAUCAAACCGGGAGAUAGCUGGUUCUCCCCGAAAUCUAUUUAGGUAGAGCCUUGAGCGGACACCUUCGGGGGUAGAGCACUGUUUCGGCUAGGGGUCCAUCCCGGAUUACCAACCCGAUGCAAACUACGAAUACCGAAGAGUGAUACUCAGGAGACACACGGCGGGUGCUAACGUCCGUCGUGGAGAGGGAAACAACCCAGACCGCCAGCUAAGGUCCCAAAGUCUAUAUUAAGUGGGAAACGAAGUGGGAAGGCUUAGACAGCUAGGAUGUUGGCUUAGAAGCAGCCAUCAUUUAAAGAAAGCGUAAUAGCUCACUAGUCGAGUCGGCCUGCGCGGAAGAUGUAACGGGGCUCAAAUAUAGCACCGAAGCUGCGGCAUCAGACGAAAGUCUGUUGGGUAGGGGAGCGUUCUGUAAGCGGAUGAAGGUGAAUCGAGAGGUUUGCUGGACGUAUCAGAAGUGCGAAUGCUGACAUAAGUAACGAUAAAACGGGUGAAAAACCCGUUCGCCGGAAGACCAAGGGUUCCUGUCCAACGUUAAUCGGGGCAGGGUGAGUCGGCCCCUAAGGCGAGGCUGAAAAGCGUAGUCGAUGGGAAACGGGUUAAUAUUCCCGUACUUGGAUAAACUGCGAUGUGGGGACGGAGCAGGUUAGGUUAUCGCACUGUUGGAUAUGUGCGUUUAAGUUGGUAGGUGUGAAGUUUAGGCAAAUCCGGACUUCUAUAACACCGAGAGAUGAUGACGAGGCUCUACGGAGCUGAAGUAACCGAUACCACACUUCCAGGAAAAGCCACUAAGCUUCAGGUUUAUCUAAACCGUACUGAAAACCGACACAGGUGGUCAGGUAGAGAAUACUCAGGCGCUUGAGAGAACUCGGGUGAAGGAACUAGGCAAAAUAGCACCGUAACUUCGGGAGAAGGUGCGCCGGCGUAGAUUGUAGUCCCUAGCGGGCGAAGGUUGAACCGGUCGAAGAUACCAGCUGGCUGCAACUGUUUAUUAAAAACACAGCACUCUGCAAACACGAAAGUGGACGUAUAGGGUGUGAUGCCUGCCCGGUGCUGGAAGGUUAAUUGAUGGUGUAAUCGAAAGAGAAGCUCCUGAUCGAAGCCCCAGUAAACGGCGGCCGUAACUAUAACGGUCCUAAGGUAGCGAAAUUCCUUGUCGGGU
This 1947-nucleotide ribosomal RNA is filed under the name human gut metagenome. Its description in RNAcentral is "bacterial LSU rRNA". It matches the Rfam family "Bacterial large subunit ribosomal RNA", at positions 1 to 1977 of the family's 2925-position model. The record is from RNAcentral.